AGAGUUUGAUCCUGGCUCAGGACGAACGCUGGCGGCGUGCCUAAUACAUGCAAGUCGAGCGAGCUUGCCUAGAUGAUUUUAGUGCUUGCACUAAAUGAAACUAGAUACAAGCGAGCGGCGGACGGGUGAGUAACACGUGGGUAACCUGCCCAAGAGACUGGGAUAACACCUGGAAACAGAUGCUAAUGCCGGAUAACAACACUAGACGCAUGUCUAGAGUUUGAAAGAUGGUUCUGCUAUCACUCUUGGAUGGACCUGCGGUGCAUUAGCUAGUUGGUAAGGUAACGGCUUACCAAGGCAAUGAUGCAUAGCCGAGUUGAGAGACUGAUCGGCCACAUUGGGACUGAGACACGGCCCAAACUCCUACGGGAGGCAGCAGUAGGGAAUCUUCCACAAUGGACGAAAGUCUGAUGGAGCAACGCCGCGUGAGUGAAGAAGGGUUUCGGCUCGUAAAGCUCUGUUGGUAGUGAAGAAAGAUAGAGGUAGUAACUGGCCUUUAUUUGACGGUAAUUACUUAGAAAGUCACGGCUAACUACGUGCCAGCAGCCGCGGUAAUACGUAGGUGGCAAGCGUUGUCCGGAUUUAUUGGGCGUAAAGCGAGUGCAGGCGGUUCAAUAAGUCUGAUGUGAAAGCCUUCGGCUCAACCGGAGAAUUGCAUCAGAAACUGUUGAACUUGAGUGCAGAAGAGGAGAGUGGAACUCCAUGUGUAGCGGUGGAAUGCGUAGAUAUAUGGAAGAACACCAGUGGCGAAGGCGACUUUCUGGACUGUACCUGACGCUGAGGCGCGAAAGCGUGGGUAGCGAACGGGAUUAGAUACCCCGGUAGUCCACGCCGUAAACGAUGAAUACUAGGUGUAGGAGGGGAUCGCCUCCUUCUGUGCCGCAGCAAACGUAAUAAGUAUUCCGCCUGGGGACUACGGUCGCAAGACUAAAACUCAAAGGAAUUGACGGGGACCCGCACAAGCGGUGGAGCAUGUGGUUUAAUUCGACGCAACGCGAAGAACCUUACCAGGGCUUGACAUCCCUCGCUACCUGCGGAAACGUGGGGUUCUGCCAGUUUACUGGCGGACGAGGAGACAGGUGGUGCAUGGUUGUCGUCAGCUCGUGUCGUGAGAUGUUGGGUUAAGUCCCGCAACGAGCGCAACCCCUACGUCCAGUUGCCAGCACGUUAAGGUGGGAACUCUGGAGGAACUGCCGGUGACAAACCGGAGGAAGGUGGGGAUGACGUCAAAUCAUCACGCCCUUUAUGUUCUGGGCUACACACGUGCUACAAUGGCCGGUACAGAGGGCGGCGAAGCCGCGAGGUGGAGCGAAUCCCAAAAAGCCGGUCUAAGUUCGGAUUGCAGGCUGCAACCCGCCUGCAUGAAGUCGGAAUCGCUAGUAAUCGCGAGUCAGCAUAUCGCGGUGAAUACGUUCCCGGGUCUUGUACUCACCGCCCGUCA
Molecule: ribosomal RNA, 1441 nt
Filed under: uncultured bacterium
Lineage: Bacteria
Description: bacterial SSU rRNA
Rfam family: Bacterial small subunit ribosomal RNA
Source: RNAcentral